This 232-nucleotide ribosomal RNA is filed under the name uncultured bacterium. RNAcentral's name for it is "partial 16S ribosomal RNA". It matches the Rfam family "Bacterial small subunit ribosomal RNA", at positions 28 to 260 of the family's 1533-position model. The record is from RNAcentral.
GACGAACGCUGGCGGCGUGCUUAACACAUGCAAGUCGAGCGGUAAGGCCCUUUCGGGGGUACGACGAGCGGCGAACGGGUGAGUAACACGUGGGUGACCUGCCCUCAGCUCUGGGAUAAGCCCGGGAAACUGGGUCUAAUACUGGAUAUGACUCCAUGACGCAUGUUGUGGGGUGGAAAGCCUUGUGCGGCUGAGGAUGGGCCCGCGGCCUAUCAGCUUGUUGGUGGGGGGA